RNAcentral lists this transfer RNA (62 nucleotides) under Rattus norvegicus (Norway rat). It matches the Rfam family "tRNA". From Rfam's summary of the family: Transfer RNA (tRNA) molecules are approximately 80 nucleotides in length. Their secondary structure includes four short double-helical elements and three loops (D, anti-codon, and T loops). Further hydrogen bonds mediate the characteristic L-shaped molecular structure. tRNAs have two regions of fundamental functional importance: the anti-codon, which is responsible for specific mRNA codon recognition, and the 3' end, to which the tRNAs corresponding amino acid is attached (by aminoacyl-tRNA synthetases). tRNAs cope with the degeneracy of the genetic code in two manners: having more than one tRNA (with a specific anti-codon) for a particular amino acid; and 'wobble' base-pairing, i.e. permitting non-standard base-pairing at the 3rd anti-codon position. Lineage: Eukaryota; Metazoa; Chordata; Mammalia; Rodentia; Muridae. The record is from Rfam by way of RNAcentral.
GGAGAUGUAGCUCAAUGGUAGAGCACUUGCCUAGCAAUGUAAGGCCCAAGGUUCCUUCUCCA